CUGGCUCGAGGACGAACGCUGGCGGCGUGCCUAAUACAUGCAAGUCGAACGGUCUUUCUAUGGAAGCUUGCUUCCACUGAGAAGAUAGUGGCGAACGGGUGAGUAACACGUGGGGUAACCUGCCCAUAAGAGGGGGGAUAACAUCCGGAAACGGGUGCUAAUACCGCAUAGUUUUCUUGAUCGCAUGAUCGGGAAAGGAAAGACGGCCUUUGUGCUGUCGCUUAUGGAUGGACCCGCGGCGUAUUAGUUAGUUGGUGAGGUAACGGCUCACCAAGACGAUGAUACGUAGCCGACCUGAGAGGGUGAUCGGCCACAUUGGGACUGAGACACGGCCCAAACUCCUACGGGAGGCAGCAGUAGGGAAUCUUCCGCAAUGGACGAAAGUCUGACGGAGCAACGCCGCGUGAGUGAAGAAAAGGUUUUCGGAUCGUAAAACUCUGUUGUCAGAGAAGAACAAGUUGGAGAGUAACUGCUCCAGCCUUGACGGUAUCUGACCAGAAAGCCACGGCUAACUACGUGCCAGCCGCCGC
RNAcentral lists this ribosomal RNA (530 nucleotides) under uncultured bacterium. Its description in RNAcentral is "bacterial SSU rRNA". It matches the Rfam family "Bacterial small subunit ribosomal RNA", at positions 19 to 518 of the family's 1533-position model. The record is from RNAcentral.